GCCUACCAUGGUGGUAACGGGUAACGGGGUGUUAGGGCACGACACCGGAGAGGGAGCCUGAGAAACGGCUACCACAUCCAAGGAUGGCAGCAGGCGCGCAAAUUACCCAAUCCCGACACGGGGAGGUAGUGACAAUAAAUAACAAUACGGGGUUCUUUCGGAUCUCGUAAUUGGAAUGAGUACAAUUUAAAUCUCUUAACGAGGAACAAUUGGAGGGCAAGUCUGGUGCCAGCAGCCGCGGUAAUUCCAGCUCCAAUAGCGUAUAUUAAAGUUGUUGCAGUUAAAAAGCUCGUAGUUGAAUUUCGGGGUUAGUAGGUUGGUCAUGCCUCUGGUAUGUACUGGUCUCACUGAUUCCUCCUUCCUUAUGAACCGUAAUGCCAUUAAUUUGGUGUUGCGGGGAAUUUGGACUGUUACUUUGAAAAAAUUAGAGUGUUUAAAGCAAGCUAACGCUUGAAUACAUUAGCAUGGAAUAAUGAAAUAGGACGUUCGAUCUUAUCUUGUUGGUUUCUAGGAUUGACGUAAUGAUUAAUAGGGAUAGUUGGGGGCAUUAGUAUUCAAUUGUCAGAGGUGAAACUCUUGGAUUUAUUGAAGACUAACUACUGCGAAAGCAUUUGCCAAGGAUGUUUUCAUUAAUCAAGAACGAAAGUUAGGGGAUCGAAGACGAUCAGAUACCGUCGUAGUCUUAACCAUAAACUAUGCCGACUAGGGAUCGGAUGAUGU
RNAcentral lists this ribosomal RNA (720 nucleotides) under uncultured fungus. Its description in RNAcentral is "SSU rRNA". It matches the Rfam family "Eukaryotic small subunit ribosomal RNA", at positions 339 to 1063 of the family's 1831-position model. The record is from RNAcentral. Lineage: Eukaryota; Fungi.